AAAACUUUCAACAACGGAUCUCUUGGUUCUG
Molecule: non-coding RNA, 31 nt
Filed under: Drosophila melanogaster (fruit fly)
Lineage: Eukaryota; Metazoa; Arthropoda; Insecta; Diptera; Drosophilidae
Also listed under: 2 other names
Source: RNAcentral